GCGACCCCAGGUCAGCGGGAACUACCCGCGAGUUUAAGCAUAUAAAUAAGCAGAGGAGAAGAAACUUAACAAGGAUUCCCCUAGUAACGGCGACCGAACCGGGAGCAGCCCAGCUUGAAUCGGGCGGCUGUGCCAUCGAAUUGUAGUCUGGAGAGCGUCCUCAGCGACGACCGGGCCCAAGUCCCCUGGAAGGGCCGCCUGGGAGGUGAGAGCCCCGUCCAGCCCGACCCUGUCGCCCCACGAGCGCCAUCAACGAGUCGGGUGUUGGAAUGCAGCCCAAAUCGGGCGGUGUAGACUCCGUCCAAGGCUAAAUACAGGCGAGAGACCGAUAGCGAACAAGUAACGCGAGGAAAGAUGAAAAGGACUUUUGAAAAGAGAGUCAAAGAAUGCUUGAAAUUGCCGGAGGAAGCGGAUGGGGGCCGCGAUGCACCCCGGCCGUAUGCGAAUGGCUCUUCUAGUCCGCCGCUCGGCUCGGGUGUGGAUGUUGUCGGCCGCGCUGGCGGCCAAAGCCCGGGGGCCCUAGUGCCCCGUGCGUCGUCGGCACGGCCGUACCCGCGCGCCGAAAGGCGUGUCCCUCGGGGCACUGCGCUCCAACGCCUGCGGGCUCCCCAUCCAACCGUCCCUGAAACACGGACCAAGGAGCAUGACAUGCGUGCGAGUGACGGGUCUGAAAACCUGGAUGCGCAAGGAAGCUGACGAGCGGAGGCCCUCACGGCCGCACCGCUGGCACCCUGAUCUUGUGUGAAGGUCGAGUUGGAGCACGCCUGUGGGCCCGAAAGAUGGUGAAUAUGCCUGAGCGGCGAAGCCAGAGAAAACUCUGGUGGAGGCUCGAAGCGAUACUGACGUGCAAAUCAUUCGUCUACUUUGUAUAGGGCGAAAGACUAAUCGAACCAUCUAGUAGCUGGUUCCCUCGAAGUUUCCCUCAGGAUAGCUGGAGCCCAUUACGAGUUCUAUCAGGUAAACAAUGAUUAGAGGCAUCAGGGAUGCAACGUCCUCGACCUAUUCUCAAACUUUUAAAUAGGUAGGAUGCAGGCUGCUUCGGUGAGCCAUGCCACGAAUCGGGUGCUCCAAGUGGGCCAUUUUGUAAGCAAACUGGCAAUGCGGAUGAACCGGAAGCCAGGUACGGUGCCCAACUCCGCUAACCUAGAAACCCACAAAUUUGGUCGAUUAAGACAGUAGGACGGUGGUCAUGAAGUCGAAAUCCGCUAAGGAGGUGUAACAACUCACCUGCCGAAUCAACUAGCCCCGAAAAGGAUGCGCUGAAGCGCGCGACCCACACCAGCCAUCUGGCGAGCGCCAUCCCGAUGAGUAGGAGGGCGCGGCGGCCACUGCAAAACCCGGGCGUGAGCCCGGGCGGACGCCGUCGUGCAGAUCUGGUGGUAGUAGCAAUAUUCAAAUGAGAACUUUGAAGGCCGAAGAGAGAAAGUUCCAUGAACGACACUGCACAUGGGUAAGCCGAUCCUAAGGACGGGUAACCCCGCAAUAGCGCGAUCACGCGCAUCCCCCGAAAGGAAUCGUUUAAGAUUUCCCGACCGGAUGUGGCGGUUGACAGCGACGUUAGAAGUCGGAGACCCGGCGGCCUCGGAAAGAGUUAUCUUUUCUGCUUAAACGCCUGCCAACCCUGGAAACGGUUCAGCCGGAGUAGGUCCAGUGGCCGGAAGAUCACCGGACGUCGUGCGGUGUUCCGGUGCGCCCCGGCGCCCAGAAAAUCGGAGGACCGAUUACCGUUCACGCCCGGUCUACUCAUAACCGCAUCAGUCUCCAAGUGAAUAGCCUCUGGCCAAUGGAACAAUUAGGCAAGGAACGCGCAAAAACGGAUCCGUAACUUCGGGAAAAGGAUUGGCUAUGGACUGGGCUCGGGGUCCCGGCCCCGAACCCGUCGGCUGUCGCGGGAUUCUCGAGCUGCUCACGCGGCAAGAGCGGGUCGCCGCAUGCCCCGGGACGGACCGGGAAUCGCCCCUUCGGGGCUUCCCGAGCAUGAAACAGCUCAACUCAGAACUGUACGGACAAGGGAAUCGACUGUUAAUUAAAACAAAGCAUUGUGAUGUCCUCGCGGAUGCUGACGCAAUGUCAAAGUGAAGAAAUUCAACCAAGCGCGGUAAACGGCGGGAGUAAACUAUGACUCUCUUAAGUAGCCAAUGCCUCGUCAUCUAAUUAGUGACGCACAUGAAUGGAUUAACGAGAUUCCCACUGUCCCUGUCUACUAUCCAGCGAAACCACAACCAAGGGAUCGGCUGGCGGAAUCACGGGGAAAGAAGACCCUGUUGAGCUUGACUCUAGUCCGACUUUGUGAAAUGACUGAGAGGUGUAGGAUAAGUGGGAUCCCUCACGGGCGCAAGUGAAUACCACUACUUUUAACGUUAUUUUACUUAUUCCGUGGUCGGAAGCGGCAUGUCCCCUCUUUUGGCUCCAAGGCCCGGUCUUACCGGCCAAUCCUGCAGAAAGACAUUGUCAGGUGGGAGUUGUGGGCGGCACAUCUGUUAAAAGAUAACGCGUGUCCUAAGAUGAGCUCAACAGAACAGAAAUCUCUGUGGAACAAAAGGUAAAAGCUCGUUUGAUUCUGAUUUCCAGUACGAAUACGAACCUGAAAGCGUGCCUAUCGAUCCUUUAGUCUUCGGAUUGAAGCUAGAGUGUCAGAAAAGUACCACAGGAUAACUGGAUUGUGGCAGCCAAGCUUCAUAGAGACGUUGCUUUUGAUCCUUCGAUGUCGGCUCUUCCUACCAGUGUCAACAGAAUUCACCAAGUGUGGAUUGCUCACCCACAAUUAGGAACGUGAGCUGGGUUUAGACCGUCGUGAGACAGUUAGUAUUACCCUACUGAUGACAGUGUCCGAUAGUAAUUCAACCUAGUACGAGAACCGUUGAUUCACACAAUUGCUCAUCGCGCUUGGUGAAAACCCAUGGCGCGAAGCUACCGUGUGCCGGAUUAUGCUGAACGCCUCUAAGUCAGAAUCAAAGCUAGCAUGCGAUGCCUACGCCCGCCGCCUGCCCCGACCCACGUUAGGCGCUUGCGCCCCCAAGGGCCCUGCCAUUGGCUAAGCCGUCCGGCCGACUCCGCGGCCGCCGCCUCGAACUCCCUUCCCAACGGGCGCUGAAUCCUUGCACGACUUAAAUCGCACGGGCAUAAGUGCAGAUCCUUGCCACGAUCCACUGAGACCACCCCAUGACGCACGGAUUCGUCCCUCCCCCAC
Molecule: ribosomal RNA, 3190 nt
Filed under: Triticum aestivum (bread wheat)
Lineage: Eukaryota; Viridiplantae; Streptophyta; Magnoliopsida; Poales; Poaceae
Description: eukaryotic LSU rRNA
Rfam family: Eukaryotic large subunit ribosomal RNA
Source: RNAcentral